GAUGAAACGCUGGCGGUAUGCCUAACACAUGCAAGUCGUACGAGAGUUUUUAACUCUAGUGGCGGACGGGUGAGUAACACGUGAGAAUUUGCCUUUAGGAGGGGGAUAACAAUUGGAAACGAAUGCUAAUACCCCAUAUGCUUUUGAGUGAAACGGAUUUAUCCGCCUAGAGAGAAGCUCGCGGCUGAUUAGCUUGUUGGUAAGGUAAAAGCUUACCAAGGCUAUGACGGUUAGGGGUCCCGAGAGGGAUAACCCCCCACACUGGAACUGAGACACGGUCCAGACUCCUACGGGAGGCAGCAGGUGGGGAAUAUUGGACAAUGGGCGAAAGCCUGAUCCAGCAAUGCCGCGUGAGUGAUGAAGGCCUUCGGGUCGUAAAGCUCUUUUACCAGGGAUGAUAAUGACAGUACCUGGAGAAUAAGCUCCGGCUAACUCCGUG
RNAcentral lists this ribosomal RNA (439 nucleotides) under uncultured bacterium. RNAcentral describes it as "bacterial SSU rRNA". It matches the Rfam family "Bacterial small subunit ribosomal RNA", at positions 27 to 507 of the family's 1533-position model. The record is from RNAcentral.